GUGCUCGCUUCGCAGCACAUAUACUAAAAAUUGGAAUGAUACAGAGAAGAUUAGCAUGGCCCCUGCGUAAGGAUGACAUGCCAAUCCAUUAAGCGUUCCAUAUAUUU
Molecule: small nuclear RNA, 107 nt
Organism: Callithrix jacchus (white-tufted-ear marmoset)
Lineage: Eukaryota; Metazoa; Chordata; Mammalia; Primates; Cebidae
Source: Ensembl